Molecule: ribosomal RNA, 780 nt
Filed under: Triticum aestivum (bread wheat)
Lineage: Eukaryota; Viridiplantae; Streptophyta; Magnoliopsida; Poales; Poaceae
Description: partial small subunit ribosomal RNA
Source: RNAcentral
AUGGACUUGGACUUCCCACUCUCCUCCGCCUCCGACGACGAUGGCGGCGACACACCGACACCACCUGGCCGCGCCAUCUGCCACGCCGGCUGCGGGCGCCCGUCCCGCGUCUGUCUCUGCCCGCACAUUCCCCGCUCCCCGCUCCACACAUCCACCACCGUCGUCGUCCUCCACCACCCCCACGCCCUCCACCGCAACCCGCUCUCCACCCUCCCCCUCCUCGCCCGCUGCCUCGCCAACCUCCACCUCCUCCCCGGAUGGCGCCUCCGCCCCUCCUCCACCCCACUCAUCCCCCCUCCCUCCCCGAACCCCGUCCUCCUCCUCUUCCCAUCACCCGCCGCCUCCGACCUCGCCUCCUGGUGCCGCUCCACGCCUCCCUCCGCGCGCUCCAACCCCAUCCUCCUCAUCCUCGAUGGCACCUGGAAGCAGGCCAAGGAGAUGCACGCCGCCAGCCUCCCGUUCCUCUCCUCGUUCGCCAUCCCCGUCUCCCUGCCCGUAGACAGCGGCGUGGACGGGGACAGCAUGUUCGAGUCGGAGCUCGUGGUGAAGAAGGAGCCGCAUAAGGGGUGCGUCAGCACAAUGGAGGCAGUCGCAAGGGCGCUGCGGCUGCUUGAGCCGGAGGGAAGCGGUGCGGAGAUCGAGGAGACGAUGGUCAGGGUUCUCAGGGCGAUGGUGGCCUUCCAGUCUGAGCAUUUGCAGCACCGUACCAUGAAGCCGAGAGUGAAGAUGAGAAAGAAGAAAGAUAUCAAGAGGGAGGAGGAGAUGAAGAGGAAUGCCUGA